This is a long non-coding RNA of Dreissena polymorpha, 568 nucleotides long. RefSeq lists it as uncharacterized. The record is from RefSeq and is a predicted model, not a curated record. The transcript is spliced from 2 exons. NCBI's taxonomy places the organism in Eukaryota, Metazoa, Mollusca, Bivalvia, Myida, Dreissenidae.
AGCAGGAAUGACUAUUUCACAUAACGAAGUCUAUUUUGUAAUUAAGUCUCCAGUCUAAUUUUACUUAUUCUUUUGUAAAUGUCAUCUUGUAACCAGUCUUUGCUAGUCUACUUAAUUUCGUGACCAUUUAUUUCUCAUGGAUUUCAUGGUGUUUUUAUUAUAUAAAUGGGAGGCCCAUACAAUUACUUCUGUUUAUGUUUAAUCUAGUGUGUAAAACAUUUAUUUAUUGUAACUUUAUGUGUCAAGUUGAGACAGGGCCUCUAAUGGGCAAUGGUAUAUAAGCCUGUGAUUGCUAUGUUAUUUUGCUUUUUCUCACCAACACUGAAGGCAGCUCCUGCCUACGUUAACGAGAAAAGUCAGUAGGAACUAUUUUAUUUUUAGUGGCUUAAAUUCUAAAUAUUUAUUUAGUUUAUUAUUAUAAAGAGUCUGUUGAAACCAUCCUGGUAUAUUAGUGUAUUUUAAUAUCUAUUCGGUUCUAUUAUCCAAUCAGUCAGUUAAAACAUUUAGUCUGUUGGUGUGUAUUCUAGUGUUUAGUAUUGUACUUCCAAAUAAACUGCGUAUAAUGGCA